Molecule: transfer RNA, 85 nt
Filed under: Albidovulum sp.
Lineage: Bacteria; Pseudomonadati; Pseudomonadota; Alphaproteobacteria; Rhodobacterales; Paracoccaceae
Also listed under: 1 other name
Description: tRNA-Leu
Rfam family: tRNA
About the family: Transfer RNA (tRNA) molecules are approximately 80 nucleotides in length. Their secondary structure includes four short double-helical elements and three loops (D, anti-codon, and T loops). Further hydrogen bonds mediate the characteristic L-shaped molecular structure. tRNAs have two regions of fundamental functional importance: the anti-codon, which is responsible for specific mRNA codon recognition, and the 3' end, to which the tRNAs corresponding amino acid is attached (by aminoacyl-tRNA synthetases). tRNAs cope with the degeneracy of the genetic code in two manners: having more than one tRNA (with a specific anti-codon) for a particular amino acid; and 'wobble' base-pairing, i.e. permitting non-standard base-pairing at the 3rd anti-codon position.
Source: RNAcentral
GGCCGCUUGCUGGAACAGGUAGACAGACCGGACUUAAAAUCCGAGGCCUUCGGGCGUGUGGGUUCGAGUCCCACAGCGGCCACCA